This 497-nucleotide ribosomal RNA is filed under the name uncultured bacterium. Its description in RNAcentral is "partial 16S ribosomal RNA". It matches the Rfam family "Bacterial small subunit ribosomal RNA", at positions 28 to 507 of the family's 1533-position model. The record is from RNAcentral.
GAUGAACGCUGGCGGCGUGCCUAAUACAUGCAAGUCGAGCGAACAGAUAAGGAGCUUGCUCCUUUGACGUUAGCGGCGGACGGGUGAGUAACACGUGGAUAACCUACCUAUAAGACUGGGAUAACUUCGGGAAACCGGAGCUAAUACCGGAUAACAUAUUGAACCGCAUGGUUCAAUAGUGAAAGGCGGCUUUGCUGUCACUUAUAGAUGGAUCCGCGCCGUAUUAGCUAGCUGGUAAGGUAACGGCUUACCAAGGCAACGAUACGUAGCCGACCUGAGAGGGUGAUCGGCCACACUGGAACUGAGACACGGUCCAGACUCCUACGGGAGGCAGCAGUAGGGAAUCUUCCGCAAUGGGCGAAAGCCUGACGGAGCAACGCCGCGUGAGUGAUGAAGGUCUUCGGAUCGUAAAACUCUGUUAUCAGGGAAGAACAAAUGUGUAAGUAACUGUGCACAUCUUGACGGUACCUGAUCAGAAAGCCACGGCUAACUACGUG